CCAGCUCUACCACUUCAUCAGCACAACUGUCUCGGGUCUGCCUCUCAGCCAGCAGGCCCGGCGCCGCCCACUUCCUGCGACCAAAUAAGGCCGAAGAAGGCGUCUUUAAACCUCCGGCGGCUGCCCAGGCUGGGGAUUUCCAGCAGACCUCACCUCCACUCCCAAGUCAGUCGCCACCCUCCCCCAGUCCAGGCCGGCGCCCCCGAUGGCUUUGCUGGAACCAUCAGGCCACGCGGCUCUUUCCUUUCACACCAAGGUCAGGACGAGACGGUGACGAAAUGUUUGGAAACCCAGCGGGCCUGCCAGGAAAGUAUGUGUGUGAUGUUGGGGAGGACACAAGUCGCUUUCUUCCACAAAGAAAACUCUCUCGUUUUGGAUACGGAGAUGGGUCAGAAGGAGAUUCUUCUUUGAAGGAGAAACCACUGAAGAAUACACUGUGUCCUGGCAGCUGCUUUUCCCCUGUGGCCAGUCCUGAGAAGCAGGUGCAUCCCUUGCUUUCUCAGGGGGAAGGGGAGGGGCAGCAGAGUGUGAUUCUCAUGCUCCCUCUGAACCUGCAGGGCAAGGACCUUCCCCACCAUGCCCCUCCCCCUACCCCCAGUGGAUGACAGAGAUGACACUGGUACCUUCUGCCUAGAAACCUUCAGAACCCCACACUUGCUUCUAAGGGGCAUGACCUUCCUGUCCUCUUCCAUCCCUUCACUGGCGGGAGCACCUGUGUGCAUCUGGAGCUCACACCUUACCCAGGAGGAAAAGGGUUUAUCUGCACCAUGAAUAAAGGUACUACCUCUAGGACCUCAUUACCUACAGUUAAAACAGAAGAAAGACAAGGUUGUAGAAAGA
This is a non-coding RNA of Kogia breviceps (pygmy sperm whale), 840 nucleotides long. The record is from RefSeq and is a predicted model, not a curated record. NCBI's taxonomy places the organism in Eukaryota, Metazoa, Chordata, Mammalia, Artiodactyla, Physeteridae.